GUACACACCGCCCGUCGCUACUACCGAUUGAGUGCUCAGGUGAAUUAUCCGGACUGCGAUUUUUGGCUUUUGCCUAAGUUGCGGGAAGUUUUGUAAACCUCAUCACUUAGAGGAAGUAUAAGUCGUAACAAGGUUUCCGUAGGUGAACCUGCAGAAGGAUCA
This 162-nucleotide ribosomal RNA is filed under the name uncultured eukaryote. Its description in RNAcentral is "partial small subunit ribosomal RNA". It matches the Rfam family "Eukaryotic small subunit ribosomal RNA", at positions 1662 to 1828 of the family's 1831-position model. The record is from RNAcentral.